AAGUCGUAACAAGGUUUCCGUAGGUGAACCUGCGGAAGGAUCAUUAAUGGAGUUUUCAGAUUGUGGGGGAUUUUCGGGUUCCCUAACAUAACCACGAUGUGCAAGAGACUAUGGUUUUGCGAGUAGGGUUGAGCCCUAAAACUGUAAAACCGAAGCAACAGGAGUUUUUUAGGUUUUACACCUCACUACUUCAUCUAUUCGUCAACAUGUAACUGGUAACAACUAUUAACGAUGGAUCCCUUGGCUCUU
RNAcentral lists this unclassified non-coding RNA (249 nucleotides) under fungal sp. RNAcentral describes it as "partial internal transcribed spacer region". The stretch from base 1 to 46 matches the Rfam family "Eukaryotic small subunit ribosomal RNA", at positions 1786 to 1831 of the family's 1831-position model. Lineage: Eukaryota; Fungi. The record is from RNAcentral.